This 253-nucleotide ribosomal RNA is filed under the name uncultured bacterium. Its description in RNAcentral is "partial 16S ribosomal RNA". It matches the Rfam family "Bacterial small subunit ribosomal RNA", at positions 524 to 776 of the family's 1533-position model. The record is from RNAcentral.
AACGUAGGAGGCGAGCGUUAUCCGGAUUUACUGGGUGUAAAGCGCGUGCAGGCGGUCUGGUAAGUGGCGCGUGAAAGCGCCCGGCUCAACCGGGCGAGGACGUGCCAAACUGCGAGACUAGAGGGAGGUAGAGGCGCGUGGAAUUCCGGGUGUAGUGGUGAAAUGCGUAGAGAUCCGGAGGAACACCAGUGGCGAAGGCGGCGCGCUGGGCCAAACCUGACGCUAAGACGCGAAAGCAUGGGGAGCGAACGGG